UACGUAGGUGGCAAGCGUUUGUCCGGAAUUAUUGGGCGUAAAGCGCGCGCAGGCGGUCUUUUAAGUCUGAUGUGAAAGCCCACGGCUCAACCGUGGAGGGUCAUUGGAAACUGGGGGGCUUGAGUGCAGGAGAGAAGAGUGGAAUUCCACGUGUAGCGGUGAAAUGCGUAGAGAUGUGGAGGAACACCAGUGGCGAAGGCGACUCUUUGGCCUGUAACUGACGCUGAGGCGCGAAAGCGUGGGGAGAAACAGG
RNAcentral lists this ribosomal RNA (253 nucleotides) under uncultured bacterium. RNAcentral's name for it is "partial 16S ribosomal RNA". It matches the Rfam family "Bacterial small subunit ribosomal RNA", at positions 524 to 776 of the family's 1533-position model. The record is from RNAcentral.